Rana temporaria (common frog) is the source of this 115-nucleotide small nuclear RNA. RefSeq annotates it as U5 spliceosomal RNA. The record is from RefSeq and is a predicted model, not a curated record. The transcript has a single exon. NCBI's taxonomy places the organism in Eukaryota, Metazoa, Chordata, Amphibia, Anura, Ranidae.
AUACUCUGGUUUCUCCAUAAAUUGAUUAAAUCUUUUGACUUUUACUAACGUUUUUUGUGGAGAGGAACAACCAUGAGUUUUGGUGAAUUUUUUGAUGCCUGGCUGAUGCCAGGCU